UGUUGCUUCCUUUUUCAUGCAAUGCUGCUACGUUGCAAAAUUUUGUUGACCCUUCCAAGUAUAUGUAUAGAGAAAUUUAUCAGAACAAACAGCACAUCAAUUCCGCUGUAUUCUUAUUUUAAAAUUUCUGUAUGCAAAUUAAUUAAAGAAGCCAUGGAUGAUAUCAUUAACAAGGUACUCAACAUUAUAAUUCCUCCCAUAUCCCUCACCUUCUUCCUCUUCCUUCUGCCACUCUAUCUCUUUUACAAGUUCCUCCUCUCCGCCGUACGAUCUGUUUUUAGUGAAGAUGUGGCCGGAAAAGUCGUCCUCAUCACUGGAGCUUCCUCCGGCAUAGGAGAGCAUAUGGCAUAUGAGUAUGCUAGAAGAGGAGCUUGCCUAGCUCUUGUUGCCAGAAGAGAAAACCUGCUCCAAUCUGUGGCUAGCAGAGCCAUGUCCAUUGGCUCCCCAGAUAUUCUCGUAAUCCCUGCAGAUGUUUCAAAGGUGGAAAAUUGUAGGCGCUUUGUCGAUGUAGCAGUGAACCACUUUGGGCGUUUGGAUCACCUAGUCAACAAUGCUGGGAUUACUCCAGUCUGCUUGUUUGAAUAGACCACUGAUGUCACUAAAAUAGCACCAGCUAUGGACACAAACUUUUGGGGUUCAGUAUAUGGCACCUACUUUGCCAUUCCACACCUUAAAAGGAGCAGAGGGAAGAUCGUGGGGAUCGCUUCCUCUGCCGGAUGGUUGCGUGUGCCACGACUAAGCUUGUAUGGUGCUACCAAAUCAGCAGUGAUAAGCUUCUAUGAGACGCUGAGAGUAGAAAUUGGGAGAGAAGUUGGAAUAACAAUUGUGACUCCAGGUUUGGUUGAAUCAGAAAUGACCAAAGGCAAAUUCUUAUCCAAGGAAGGCCAACUGGUAUUGGAUCAACAAUUGAGAGAUGUUGAAGUAAGCAUAAUGCCAAUACUGCCUGUCAAGGAGGCUGCCAAAUCAAUCGUGGACAGCGCAUGCCGGGGAGAAAAUUACUUGACAGUACCAGCUUGGGUUUGGCAUUCAUUUUACUGGAAGGUGUUUUUCCCAGAGUUACUGGACUGGUCUAACCGUAUGUUACUGAUGAGCAAUGGGAGCGGUGGCGAGAGGGAUACAAUAAGUAAGAAGCUCCUGGACCUAACCGGCUUGAAGGAGUGUCUGUAUCCGGUUUCAGUUCGAUAGAUAUCCUAAGCUUAAACAA
Prunus persica (peach) is the source of this 1204-nucleotide RNA transcript. It is a transcript of the gene named 11-beta-hydroxysteroid dehydrogenase 1B, with no coding region annotated. The record is from RefSeq and is a predicted model, not a curated record. NCBI's taxonomy places the organism in Eukaryota, Viridiplantae, Streptophyta, Magnoliopsida, Rosales, Rosaceae. The transcript has 6 exons.